This 467-nucleotide ribosomal RNA is filed under the name uncultured bacterium. RNAcentral describes it as "partial 16S ribosomal RNA". It matches the Rfam family "Bacterial small subunit ribosomal RNA", at positions 28 to 507 of the family's 1533-position model. The record is from RNAcentral.
GAUGAACGCUGGCGGCGUGCUUAACACAUGCAAGUCGAACGGUGAUGCCCAGCUUGCUGGGUGGAUUAGUGGCGAAAAGGUGAGUAUCACGUGAGUAACCUGCCCUUGACACUGGGAUAAGCCUGGGAAAAUGGGUCUAAUACCGGAUACGACCACCCGGCGCACGUCGUGGUGGUGGAAAGCUUUGGUGGUUUUGGAUGGACUCGCGGCCUAUCAGCUUGUUGGUGGGGUAAUGGCCUACCAAGGCGUUGACGGGUAGCCGGCCUGAGAGGGUGACCGGCCACACUGGGACUGAGGCACGGCCCAGACUCCUACGGGAGGCAGCAGUGGGGAAUAUUGCACAAUGGGCGCAAGCCUGAUGCAGCAACGCCGCGUGAGGGAUGACGGCCUUCGGGUUGUAAACCUCUUUCGGUAGUGAAGAAGCGAAAGUGACGGUACUGGCAGAAGAAGCGCCGGCUAACUACGUG